GACGAACGCUGGCGGCGUGCCUAACACAUGCAAGUCGAGCGAACAGACGAUGAGCUUGCUCCACUGACGUUGGCCGCGGACGGGAGAGUAACAUGAGCAUCACAUACCUAUAAGACUGGGCUAACAACGUGAAACCGGUGCUAAUACCGUAUAAUAUAUUGAACCGCAUGGUUCAAUAGUUACAGACGGUGUUGAUGGCCCUUAUAGCUGGCUCCGCGCCGCAUUGGCUGUUUGGUAAGGUAACGGCUUACCAAGGCAACGAUGCGUAGCCGACCUGGGAGGGGGAUCGGCCACACUGGAGGUGAGACGCGGUCCUGAGUCCUACGGGCGGCAGCAAUAGGGAAUCGUGCGCGAAGGGCGGAAGCCUGCCGGAGCAACGCCGCGUGAGUGAAGAAGGUCUUCGGGUCGUAAAACGCUGUUAUGAUGGUAGAACAAAUGUAUAAGGAACUAUGCACGUCUUGACGGUACCUAAAGAGAAAGCAACGGCUAACUACGUG
Molecule: ribosomal RNA, 497 nt
Filed under: uncultured bacterium
Lineage: Bacteria
Description: partial 16S ribosomal RNA
Rfam family: Bacterial small subunit ribosomal RNA
Source: RNAcentral